Molecule: small nuclear RNA, 103 nt
Organism: Rhinopithecus roxellana (golden snub-nosed monkey)
Lineage: Eukaryota; Metazoa; Chordata; Mammalia; Primates; Cercopithecidae
Source: RefSeq, a predicted model, not a curated record
GUGCUCGUUUCGGCAGCAUGUAUACUAAAAUUGGAAUAUGAUACGGAGAAGCUUACCCCUGCACAAGGAUGACACACAAAUUUGUGAGGCGUUCUGUAUUUUU